RNAcentral lists this ribosomal RNA (253 nucleotides) under uncultured bacterium. RNAcentral's name for it is "partial 16S ribosomal RNA". It matches the Rfam family "Bacterial small subunit ribosomal RNA", at positions 524 to 776 of the family's 1533-position model. The record is from RNAcentral.
UACGUAGGUGGCAAGCGUUAAUCGGAAUUAUUGGGCGUAAAGGGCUCGCAGGCGGUCUUCUAAGUCUGAUGUGAAAUCUUGCGGCUUAACCGCAAGCGGUCAUUGGAAACUGGAGGACUUGAGUACAGAAGAGGAGAGUGGAAUUCCACGUGUAGCGGUGAAAUGCGUAGAGAUGUGGAGGAACACCAGUGGCGAAGGCGACUCUCUGGUCUGUAACUGACGCUGAGGAGCGAAAGCAUGGGGAGCGAACAGG